UUAAGCGAAUAAGCGUACACGGUGGAUGCCUAGGCAAUCAGAGGCGAUGAAGGACGUGCUAAUCUGCGAAAAGCGUCGGUAAGGUGAUAUGAACCGUUAUACCCGACGAUAUCCGAAUGGGGAAACCCAGUAUCCAAUGGAUACUAUCAUUAACUGAAUCCAUAGGUUAAUGAGGCGAACCGGGAGAACUGAAACAUCUCAGUACCCCGAGGAAAAGAAAUCAACCGAGAUUCCCCUAGUAGCGGCGAGCGAACGGGGAGCAGCCCAGAGUCUUAAUCAAUAGCAGUGUCAGGAGAACGGUCUGGAAAGUCCGGCAGUAAAGGGUGAUAGCCCCGUAUCUGAAGAUGCUGUUAUUGUGAACUCGACGAGUAGGGCGGGACACGUGUUAUCCUGUCUGAAUAUGGGGGACCAUCCUCCAAGGCUAAAUACUCCUGAUUGACCGAUAGUGAACCAGUACCGUGAGGGAAAGGCGAAAAGAACCCCGGCGAGGGGAGUGAAAAAGAACCUGAAACCGUGUACGUACAAGCAGUAGGAGCCUCUUUAUGGGGUGACUGCGUACCUUUUGUAUAAUGGGUCAGCGACUUAUAUUCUGUAGCAAGGUUAACCGCAUAGGGGAGCCGUAGGGAAACCGAGUCUUAACUGGGCGAAUGAGUUGCAGGGUAUAGACCCGAAACCCGGUGAUCUAUCCAUGGGCAGGUUGAAGGUUGGGUAACACUAACUGGAGGACCGAACCGACUAAUGUUGAAAAAUUAGCGGAUGACUUGUGGAUGGGGGUGAAAGGCCAAUCAAACCGGGAGAUAGCUGGUUCUCCCCGAAAGCUAUUUAGGUAGCGCCUCGUGAAUUCAUCUUCGGGGUAGAGCACUGUUUCGACUAGGGGGUCAUCCCGACUUACCAACUCGAUGCAAACUGCGAAUACCGAAGAAUGUUAUCACGGGAGACACACGGCGGGUGCUAACGUCCGUCGUGAAGAGGGAAACAACCCAGACCGCCAGCUAAGGUCCCAAAGUCAUGGUUAAGUGGGAAACGAAGUGGGAAGGCUCAGACAGCCAGGAUGUUGGCUUAGAAGCAGCCAUCAUUUAAAGAAAGCGUAAUAGCUCACUGGUCGAGUCGGCCCGCGCGGAAGAUGUAACGGGGCUAAACCAUGCACCGAAGCUGCGGCAGCGACACAAAGUGUUGUUGGGUAGGGGAGCGUUCUGUAAGCCUGCGAAGGUGUACUGUGAGGUAUGCUGGAGGUAUCAGAAGUGCGAAUGCUGACAUAAGUAACGAUAAUGCGGGUGAAAAACCCGCACGCCGGAAGACCAAGGGUUCCUGUCCAACGUUAAUCGGGGCAGGGUGAGUCGACCCCUAAGGCGAGGCUGAAAAGCGUAGUCGAUGGGAAACGGGUUAAUAUUCCCGUACUGGUGGUAACUGCGAUGGGGGAACGGAGAAGGCUAGGUUGUCCGGGCGACGGUCGUCCCGGUUCAAGCAGGUAGGCAGAGUGAUUAGGCAAAUCCGGUCACUUAAUGCUGAGAUGUGAUGACGAACCACCAAGGUGGUGAAGCAAUUGAUGCCCCGCUUCCAGGAAAAGCCUCUAAGCUUCAGGUUACCAACAAUCGUACCCCAAACCGACACAGGUGGUCAGGUAGAGAAUACUCAGGCGCUUGAGAGAACUCGGGUGAAGGAACUAGGCAAAAUGGUGCCGUAACUUCGGGAGAAGGCACGCUGGCGGUAGGUAAAGUCCCUCGCGGACGGCGCUGAAGCCAGUCGAAGAUACCAGCUGGCUGCAACUGUUUAUUAAAAACACAGCACUGUGCAAACACGAAAGUGGACGUAUACGGUGUGACGCCUGCCCGGUGCUGGAAGGUUAAUUGAUGGGGUUAGCGUAAGCGAAGCUCCUGAUCGAAGCCCCAGUAAACGGCGGCCGUAACUAUAACGGUCCUAAGGUAGCGAAAUUCCUUGUCGGGUAAGUUCCGACCUGCACGAAUGGCGUAAUGAUGGCCAGGCUGUCUCCACCCGAGACUCAGUGAAAUUGAACUCGCUGUGAAGAUGCAGUGUACCCGCGGCAAGACGGAAAGACCCCGUGAACCUUUACUAUAGCUUGACACUGAACAUUGAGCCUUGAUGUGUAGGAUAGGUGGGAGGCUUUGAAGUGUGGACGCCAGUCUGCAUGGAGCCAACCUUGAAAUACCACCCUUUAACGUUUGAUGUUCUAACCUAGGCCCAUAAACUGGGUCGGGGACCGUGUCUGGUGGGUAGUUUGACUGGGGCGGUCUCCUCCUAAAGAGUAACGGAGGAGCACGAAGGUUGGCUAAGCAUGGUCGGACAUCAUGCGGUUAGUGCAAAGGCAUAAGCCAGCUUGACUGCGAGAGUGACGGCUCGAGCAGGUACGAAAGUAGGUCUUAGUGAUCCGGUGGUUCUGAAUGGAAGGGCCAUCGCUCAACGGAUAAAAGGUACUCCGGGGAUAACAGGCUGAUACCGCCCAAGAGUUCAUAUCGACGGCGGUGUUUGGCACCUCGAUGUCGGCUCAUCACAUCCUGGGGCUGAAGUAGGUCCCAAGGGUAUGGCUGUUCGCCAUUUAAAGUGGUACGCGAGCUGGGUUUAGAACGUCGUGAGACAGUUCGGUCCCUAUCUGCCGUGGGCGUUGGAAGAUUGAGAGGGGUUGCUCCUAGUACGAGAGGACCGGAGUGAACGCACCACUGGUGUUCGGGUUGUCAUGCCAAUGGCAUUGCCCGGUAGCUAAGUGCGGAAGAGAUAACCGCUGAAAGCAUCUAAGCGGGAAACUUGCCUCGAGAUGAGUCUUCCCUGUCGCUUUAAGCGACCUAAAGGAACGUUUAAGACUAAGACGUUGAUAGGCUGGGUGUGUAAGCGUAGCGAUACGUUGAGCUAACCAGUACUAAUGAACCGUGAGGCUUAACCUG
This 2897-nucleotide ribosomal RNA is filed under the name Proteus mirabilis. RNAcentral describes it as "bacterial LSU rRNA". It matches the Rfam family "Bacterial large subunit ribosomal RNA". The record is from RNAcentral. Lineage: Bacteria; Pseudomonadati; Pseudomonadota; Gammaproteobacteria; Enterobacterales; Morganellaceae.